Molecule: ribosomal RNA, 193 nt
Filed under: uncultured bacterium
Lineage: Bacteria
Description: partial 16S ribosomal RNA
Rfam family: Bacterial small subunit ribosomal RNA
Source: RNAcentral
GAAAUUCGCCUUCAUGAAGCCGGAAUUGCUAGUAAUGGCAGGUCAGCAUACUGCCGUGAAUACGUUCCCGGGCCUUGUACACACCGCCCGUCACACCAUGAGAGUUGGGAAUACCCGAAGCCUGUGAGCUAACAUUAAGAGGCAGCAGUCGAAGGUAGAAUCAAUGAUUGGGGUGAAGUCGUAACAAGGUAAC